RNAcentral lists this long non-coding RNA (281 nucleotides) under Cavia porcellus (domestic guinea pig). Its description in RNAcentral is "lncRNA (ENSCPOG00000040299.1)". The record is from RNAcentral. Lineage: Eukaryota; Metazoa; Chordata; Mammalia; Rodentia; Caviidae.
UUCUAAAAAGAAUUCUCUCUAAAACUUUCCUUUUCUCUCUUUCUUUCUCUCUCUCUCCAAGGUAUGCAACCACUCAUGUAUUCAGUUCAGGAAGCAUUAAAUGCCAGACCAUGGUGGAUUCGUAUGGGAACUGACAUUUGUUACUAUAAAAAUCACUUCUCAAGAAGUUCAGCUGCUGCAGGUGGACAAAAGGGAAAAUCUUACUACACCAUUACUUUCACUGUAAAUUUUCCACAUAGAGAUGAUGUUAGCUCCUUUGCCUAUCACUAUCCAUAUACAUA